Molecule: ribosomal RNA, 468 nt
Filed under: uncultured bacterium
Lineage: Bacteria
Description: partial 16S ribosomal RNA
Rfam family: Bacterial small subunit ribosomal RNA
Source: RNAcentral
GACGAACGCUGGCGGCGUGCUUAACACAUGCAAGUCGAACGGAAAGGCCCUGCUUUUGUGGGGUUCCCGAGUGGCGAACGGGUGAGUAACACGUGAGUAACCUGCCCUUGACUUUGGGAUAACUUCAGGAAACUGGGGCUAAUACCGGAUAGGAGCUCCUGCUGCAUGGUGGGGGUUGGAACGUUUCGGCGGUUGGGGAUGGACUCGCGGCUUAUCAGCUUGUUGGUGGGGUAGUGGUUUACCAAGGCUGUGACGGGUCGCCGGCCUGGGAGGGUGACCGGCGACAUUGCGACUGAGAGACGGACCAGUGGCGUACGGGAGACAGCAGUGGGAAAUAUUGUACAAUGGGCGGAAGCCGGUGAAGACAGCGCCGGGGUUGGAAUGACGGCCUGCGGGGUGUGAACCGCUUUCGGCUGAGACGAAGCGGGUGUGACGGUAAUGAGUGAAGAAGCACCGGCUAACUUCGUG